This is a non-coding RNA of Caenorhabditis elegans, 144 nucleotides long. The record is from Ensembl. NCBI's taxonomy places the organism in Eukaryota, Metazoa, Nematoda, Chromadorea, Rhabditida, Rhabditidae.
UCGAUCGACGGGGGUAGGUAAGGCACAAUGUGGAGCUAUGGGCACGGUACUUUCCUUGCCUGGUACGGCAAACAUUGACUCUCUUGGCCGACGUGGACAUUGGCGGUAAGAAGGGAGGGUCAACGCGAUGGCCAAACAGAUUUA